This 301-nucleotide ribosomal RNA is filed under the name uncultured bacterium. RNAcentral's name for it is "partial 16S ribosomal RNA". It matches the Rfam family "Bacterial small subunit ribosomal RNA", at positions 509 to 809 of the family's 1533-position model. The record is from RNAcentral.
CAGUAGCCACGGGAAUACGAAGGGGGCUAGCGUUGUUCGGAAUCACUGGGCGUAAAGCGCACGUAGGCGGACACUUAAGUCAGAGGUGAAAUCCCAAGGCUCAACCUUGGAACUGCCUUUGAUACUGGGUGUCUUAAGGUCGAGAGAGGUGAGUGGAACUGCGAGUGUAGAGGUGAAAUUCGUAGAUAUUCGCAAGAACACCAGUGGCGAAGGCGGCUCACUGGCUCGAUUCUGACGCUGAGGUGCGAAAGCGUGGGGAGCAAACAGGAUUAGAUACCCCGGUAGUCCCUGUCUCUUAUAA